Molecule: ribosomal RNA, 253 nt
Filed under: uncultured bacterium
Lineage: Bacteria
Description: partial 16S ribosomal RNA
Rfam family: Bacterial small subunit ribosomal RNA
Source: RNAcentral
UACGUAGGUGGCGAGCGUUGUCCGGAUUUACUGGGCGUAAAGAGCGCGCAGGCGGUCGUCCAAGUCGCGUGUGAAAGCCCCCGGCUCAACUGGGGAGGGUCACGCGAUACUGAUCGACUCGAAGGCAGGAGAGGGAAGCGGAAUUCCCGGUGUAGUGGUGAAAUGCGUAGAUAUCGGGAGGAACACCAGUGGCGAAGGCGGCUUCCUGGCCUGUUCUUGACGCUGAGGCGCGAAAGCUAGGGUAGCAAACGGG